AGUGAACGCUGGCGGAAGGCCUAACACAUGCAAGUCGAACGGCAGCACAGUAAGAGCUUGCUCUUACGGGUGGCGAGUGGCGGACGGGUGAGGAAUACAUCGGAAUCUACUUUUUCGUGGGGGAUAACGUAGGGAAACUUACGCUAAUACCGCAUACGACUUACGGGUGAAAGCAGGGGAUCUUCGGACCUUGCGCGAUUGAAUGAGCCGAUGUCGGAUUAGCUAGUUGGCGGGGUAAAGGCCCACCAAGGCGACGAUCCGUAGCUGGUCUGAGAGGAUGAUCAGCCACACUGGAACUGAGACACGGUCCAGACUCCUACGGGAGGCAGCAGUGGGGAAUAUUGGACAAUGGGCGCAAGCCUGAUCCAGCCAUACCGCGUGGGUGAAGAAGGCCUUCGGGUUGUAAAGCCCUUUUGUUGGGAAAGAAAAGCAGCAGGUUAAUACCCCGCUGUUCUGACGGUACCCAAAGAAUAAGCACCGGCUAACUUCGUG
Molecule: ribosomal RNA, 492 nt
Filed under: uncultured bacterium
Lineage: Bacteria
Description: partial 16S ribosomal RNA
Rfam family: Bacterial small subunit ribosomal RNA
Source: RNAcentral